GCUGAUAUAGCUCAGGUGGUAGAGCGCAUCCUUGGUAAGGAUGAGGUCGGCAGUUCGACUCUGCCUAUCAGCACCA
RNAcentral lists this transfer RNA (76 nucleotides) under Vibrio parahaemolyticus. RNAcentral describes it as "tRNA-Thr". It matches the Rfam family "tRNA". Rfam says of the family: Transfer RNA (tRNA) molecules are approximately 80 nucleotides in length. Their secondary structure includes four short double-helical elements and three loops (D, anti-codon, and T loops). The record is from RNAcentral. Lineage: Bacteria; Pseudomonadati; Pseudomonadota; Gammaproteobacteria; Vibrionales; Vibrionaceae. RNAcentral also lists the same sequence under 1 other name.